AUUAAUGUUCAUGACAGGUGUUAUGUCAGUCUUAUUCACACCCCUUUAAAUAAAGUGUUACCGGUGGAUUUUGCCUCAGUGAACUUUGCCCUUUACGCCUAAUUAUUAACAGAGGAGCAGAUAUUUUGUGGUUCAUUUCUGUGAGGAAUCUGUUCAGAAAUGAUCUCUGAUGUUCGACUCUGUGGCGAGUUUAUGGCAGACAGGACUUCCUGUUUUCCCCGUUAAAAGACGAAACCUGACAGCGAGGAAACCUGCUGGAAUGUUACCGACCUCAUCCUGCCACUCAUUGACCAGCACACUCUCUCUCUCUGUGAACCCACCUCGCUCGUCCGCUCCCACAAUCCAUCUCAAAACGCCUGAACAAUCCCAGCAUGCACCUCUGCCUCGCCGCAUGCUUCCUCAUCAGUCCAUCCAGAGGGAAUGGAGGAGCAGAACCAGCCAGACCCUGGGCUCGGUGGAUCUGCCGAGACGCUGGCAUGUGGAGGCUGAGGCAGUAACCCAGGGGGCGGGGCCAUGAGGUAACGAAGCAGUGCCCCACGUCUUCUGGAAGCUGCUCGUAGUUCUCCAGUUCCUUCAGGAAAAUACUGAGGAGCACAAAGAUGUCCUGGAUGUUUCCGAACACGACGUCGUCCUUGUUGGUGAGUCCAGGUGGGAUUUCCUCCGAGCCGCUGGUCAUCUCCCACAGGUACG
Long non-coding RNA from Poecilia latipinna (sailfin molly), 690 nucleotides. RefSeq lists it as uncharacterized. The transcript has 3 exons. The record is from RefSeq and is a predicted model, not a curated record. Lineage: Eukaryota; Metazoa; Chordata; Actinopteri; Cyprinodontiformes; Poeciliidae.